ACUCCUACGGGAGGCAGCAGUGAGGAAUAUUGGACAAUGGGCGGGAGCCUGAUCCAGCCAUGCCGCGUGCAGGAAGACGGUCCUAUGGAUUGUAAACUGCUUUUGUACGGGAAGAACAAGGGGCACGCGUGCCCCNCCCUGACGUACCGUAAGAAUAAGGAUCGGCUAACUCCGUGCCAGCAGCCGCGGUAAUACGGAGGAUCCGAGCGUUAUCCGGAAUCAUUGGGUUUAAA
This 233-nucleotide ribosomal RNA is filed under the name uncultured bacterium. Its description in RNAcentral is "partial 16S ribosomal RNA". It matches the Rfam family "Bacterial small subunit ribosomal RNA", at positions 335 to 564 of the family's 1533-position model. The record is from RNAcentral.